Molecule: small RNA, 52 nt
Filed under: Aliiroseovarius halocynthiae
Lineage: Bacteria; Pseudomonadati; Pseudomonadota; Alphaproteobacteria; Rhodobacterales; Paracoccaceae
Description: ffh sRNA
Rfam family: ffh sRNA
Source: RNAcentral
CAAUGCCGGGAUCGCCCCCUGUCAGCGUGUUACGCCCACAGGGGCCAUCGUG